This 903-nucleotide ribosomal RNA is filed under the name uncultured bacterium. Its description in RNAcentral is "bacterial SSU rRNA". It matches the Rfam family "Bacterial small subunit ribosomal RNA", at positions 9 to 916 of the family's 1533-position model. The record is from RNAcentral.
GAGUUUGAUCCUGGCUCAGGAUGAACGCUAGCGGCAGGCUUAACACAUGCAAGUCGAGGGGUAGGUUACUUCGGUAACUGAGACCGGCGCACGGGUGCGUAACGCGUAUACAAUCUACCUUUUACAGAGGGAUAGCCCAGAGAAAUUUGGGAUUAAUACCUCAUAGUAUUUUUGAAUGGCAUCAUUUGAUUAUUAAAGUUCCAACGGUAAAAGAUGAGUAUGCGUCCCAUUAGCUAGAUGGUAAGGUAACGGCUUACCAUGGCUACGAUGGGUAGGGGUCCUGAGAGGGAGAUCCCCCACACUGGUACUGAGACACGGACCAGACUCCUACGGGAGGCAGCAGUGAGGAAUAUUGGACAAUGGGCGCAAGCCUGAUCCAGCCAUGCCGCGUGCAGGAAGAAGGUCCUAUGGAUUGUAAACUGCUUUUAUACAGGAAGAAACACCUCUACGUGUAGAGACUUGACGGUACUGUAUGAAUAAGGACCGGCUAACUCCGUGCCAGCAGCCGCGGUAAUACGGAGGGUCCAAGCGUUAUCCGGAAUCAUUGGGUUUAAAGGGUCCGUAGGCGGCCAAAUAAGUCAGUGGUGAAAGCCCAUCGCUCAACGAUGGAACGGCCAUUGAUACUGUUUUGGCUUGAAUUAUUAGGAAGUAACUAGAAUAUGUAGUGUAGCGGUGAAAUGCUUAGAGAUUACAUGGAAUACCAAUUGCGAAGGCAGGUUACUACUAAUAUAUUGACGCUGAUGGACGAAAGCGUGGGGAGCGAACAGGAUUAGAUACCCUGGUAGUCCACGCCGUAAACGAUGGAUACUAGCUGUUCGGAGCAAUCUGAGUGGCUAAGCGAAAGUGAUAAGUAUCCCACCUGGGGAGUACGUUCGCAAGAAUGAAACUCAAAUGAAUUGGCGG